Molecule: ribosomal RNA, 333 nt
Filed under: uncultured Sulfuricurvum sp.
Lineage: Bacteria; Pseudomonadati; Campylobacterota; Epsilonproteobacteria; Campylobacterales; Sulfurimonadaceae
Description: bacterial SSU rRNA
Rfam family: Bacterial small subunit ribosomal RNA
Source: RNAcentral
UGACGAGUUUGAUCCUGGCUCAGAGUGAACGCUGGCGGCGUGCCUAACACAUGCAAGUCGAACGAUGAUGAAAGAGCUUGCUCUUUCUGAUUAGUGGCGCACGGGUGAGUAUACCAUAGAUAAUGUACCUCUUAGUUUGGGAUAGCCACUGGAAACGGUGAUUAAUACCAGAUACUCCUUCUCGUUAUAAGACGAGUUCGGGAAAGUUUUUUCGCUAAGAGAUCAGUCUAUGUCCUAUCAGCUAGUUGGUGAGGUAAUGGCUCACCAAGGCUAUGACGGGUUAUCUGGUUUGAGAGGAUGAUCAGACACACUGGAACUGAGACACGGUCCAGA